Molecule: non-coding RNA, 347 nt
Organism: Mus musculus (house mouse)
Lineage: Eukaryota; Metazoa; Chordata; Mammalia; Rodentia; Muridae
Source: the annotation of a RefSeq genome assembly
AUGCGUCCUGUCACCUGCUCAGUUCUUGUGCUCCUCCUAAUGCUCAGGAGGAGCAAUGGCGAUGGAGACUCCGUGACCCAGACAGAAGGCCUGGUCACUCUCACAGAAGGGUUGCCUGUGAUGCUGAACUGCACCUAUCAGACUAUUUACUCAAAUCCUUUCCUUUUCUGGUAUGUGCAACAUCUCAAUGAAUCCCCUCGGCUACUCCUGAAGAGCUUCACAGACAACAAGAGGACCGAGCACCAAGGGUUCCACGCCACUCUCCAUAAGAGCAGCAGCUCCUUCCAUCUGCAGAAGUCCUCAGCGCAGCUGUCAGACUCUGCCCUGUACUACUGUGCUCUGAGUGA